RNAcentral lists this ribosomal RNA (305 nucleotides) under uncultured bacterium. Its description in RNAcentral is "bacterial SSU rRNA". It matches the Rfam family "Bacterial small subunit ribosomal RNA", at positions 336 to 638 of the family's 1533-position model. The record is from RNAcentral.
UUCCUACGGGGGGCAGCAGUGAGGAAUAUUGGUCAAUGGGCGAGAGCCUGAACCAGCCAAGUCGCGUGAGGGAGGACGGUCCUAUGGAUUGUAAACCUCUUUUGCCGGGGAGCAAAAAGCGGUACGUGUACCGCAUCGAGAGUACCCGGAGAAAAAGCAUCGGCUAACUCCGUGCCAGCAGCCGCGGUAAUACGUAGGGGGCAAGCGUUAUCCGGAUUUACUGGGUGUAAAGGGAGCGUAGACGGCUGCGCAAGUCUGAAGUGAAAGCCCGGGGCUCAACCCCGGGACUGCUUUGGAAACUGUGU